AAAAACUUAGAAGCGCCAGACUUAUCAUAAACAUAUGAUGAGUUGACGAGGUCAGGGUUUAUCGAAGUUUUCGGCGGGUGCCCUGCGCUGCGGCUUAGCAGUGUUACGAAUUUUACAAAUCCACAAGUAAUUGAUGGGACAAAGUAAAUUCGAUUGAGCCAU
RNAcentral lists this non-coding RNA (162 nucleotides) under Clostridiales bacterium. RNAcentral's name for it is "GlcN6P sequence". It matches the Rfam family "glmS glucosamine-6-phosphate activated ribozyme aptamer". Rfam says of the family: This entry contains a glucosamine-6-phosphate activated ribozyme that is found in the mRNA for GlmS. GlmS is an enzyme that uses fructose-6-phosphate and glutamine to generate glucosamine-6-phosphate. Lineage: Bacteria; Bacillati; Bacillota; Clostridia; Eubacteriales. The record is from RNAcentral.